This 491-nucleotide ribosomal RNA is filed under the name uncultured bacterium. RNAcentral describes it as "partial 16S ribosomal RNA". It matches the Rfam family "Bacterial small subunit ribosomal RNA", at positions 29 to 506 of the family's 1533-position model. The record is from RNAcentral.
AGUGAACGCUGGCGGUAGGCCUAACACAUGCAAGUCGAACGGCAGCACAGUAAGAGCUUGCUCUUACGGGUGGCGAGUGGCGGACGGGUGAGGAAUACAUCGGAAUCUACUUUUUCGUGGGGGAUAACGUAGGGAAACUUACGCUAAUACCGCAUACGACCUACGGGUGAAAGCAGGGGAUCUUCGGACCUUGCGCGAUUGAAUGAGCCGAUGUCGGAUUAGCUAGUUGGCGGGGUAAAGGCCCACCAAGGCGACGAUCCGUAGCUGGUCUGAGAGGAUGAUCAGCCACACUGGAACUGAGACACGGUCCAGACUCCUACGGGAGGCAGCAGGGGGGAAUAUUGGACAAUGGGCGAAAGCCUGAUCCAGCCAUACCGCGUGGGUGAAGAAGGCCUUCGGGUUGUAAAGCCCUUUUGUUGGGAAAGAAAAGCAGCAGGUUAAUACCCCGCUGUUCUGACGGUACCCAAAGAAUAAGCACCGGCUAACUUCGU